Small nucleolar RNA from Phoenix dactylifera (date palm), 103 nucleotides. RefSeq annotates it as small nucleolar RNA snoR31/Z110/Z27. The record is from RefSeq and is a predicted model, not a curated record. Lineage: Eukaryota; Viridiplantae; Streptophyta; Magnoliopsida; Arecales; Arecaceae.
UUCAUCAGGUGAUGAAAUCUUGAAAUGAAAUCUUAGGACACCUUCCUACACAGCCCCAUUCGUUGGGUUGUGGAUGAGAAAACAUUUCAAUUCUGAUGAUGAU